Molecule: RNA transcript, 1121 nt
Organism: Ornithodoros turicata
Lineage: Eukaryota; Metazoa; Arthropoda; Arachnida; Ixodida; Argasidae
Exons: 7
Source: RefSeq, a predicted model, not a curated record
CCUCAUGAGACAAGCAGAGGUCCUUGACCAGCUUCGGCCACUGCCCCUGACCCUUGCCGGGGAUGGCAGGUGUGACUCACCCGGCCACACUGCAUUGUAUGGCACCUACACGCUUCUGGAGACUGCAGCCAACCGUAUCGUGCACUUCGAGUUGGUUAAGUCUACUGAGGUCAGCAGCAGCAAUGCAAUGGAAGCCUAUGAUCUACAGAAAUGCCUCGCCUUUCUCGAGGUACAUGACAUGACUGUGGACACCUUGGUUACUGACCGCCAUUCUGGCAUCAAAGCCAUGCUAAGGCGACUGUGCCCACACAUAAAGCAUAGAUUUGAUGUGUGGCAUGUUGUCAAAGGAGUCAAGAAAAAGCUCUUGGCUCUCAGUCGCUCAACGAAACACCAAGUUGUGCAGCUCUGGAUUGAUAGCUUGACGAGACAUGCAUAUUAGUGUCCGUGUACAAGCGGGGAUGAUGGGGACCUAUGUCUUGCAAAGUGGGUGUCAGCAGUUAACCACAUUGUUGACAUCCAUGAGCACGACAACCCGUUGUACCCGAUUUGCUACCACGGCGCACUUUCUGAACCACGUCAAUGGCUCAGAGAAGACACAGAGACGUACAGGCAAGUCCAGGACAUCCUGUUGUCACCUGCACUCCUGAAGGAUAUCCCAUUCCUGUCCUCACAAGAGCAGACAUAUGGAUUGAAGGCCUUUCACAGUGUCCUCAUCCACUUCCUGCCGAAGUCCUACGCUUUUUCUGACGAGGGGAUGGUGGCUAGGACACAGUUGGCGAUCAUCCACUUCAACGAGAAUGCAGACCGUGUCCAGUUGGAGAGGGAAGGCGCGAAGCAGUACCGUCUCAAGGCAUUGAAGGUUAAGAAGACGUGGGUGGCUGUACCUCUGAAGGAGAGUGCUAGCUAUGGUUAUGCAUCAGCCUUGAUUGCUGAGGUGCUGACACGCAUUCAGGAGCACAGAAGGGAGUCUGGAGCUGUGGCAACUCUGCCAACGCGGUCAUCAACAUAUGGUGAGAGGCCAAGCCUUACAGAAGCAGUCGUGAAGCAUCAGGCAAGGUUCCAGAAAUGAGGCUCCCACCUGCAUCACACACUGAACGUUGAAACUAAGCUAAAAAAAGGCC